UCCUUCUUAUCGAAGGCAGUUUCUUAAGAGUGCCUCUCUUGCGAGAGUAGCAACAUAAGAUAAGGGUUGCGCUCGUUGCGGGACUUAACCCAACAUCUCACGACACGAGCUGACGACAACCAUGCAGCACCUCUGUAGACUCCCUUGCGGGUCGCCCGCUGUUUCCAGCAGACUACCAUCCACAGUUCAAGCCCAGGUAAGGUUUUUCGCGUUGCGUCGAAUUAAACCACAUGCUCCACCGCUUGUGCGGGCCCCCGUCAAUUCCUUUGAGUUUCAACCUUGCGGCCGUACUCCCCAGGCGGCUCAUUUAAUGCGUUAGCUACGACGCGGAAGGGGUCGAUACCUCCCACAUCUAAUGAGCAUCGUUUAGGGCUAGGACUAC
Molecule: unclassified non-coding RNA, 382 nt
Filed under: uncultured Elusimicrobia bacterium
Lineage: Bacteria; Pseudomonadati; Elusimicrobiota; Elusimicrobia
Description: contains 16S-23S intergenic spacer region
Source: RNAcentral